UUUUCGAAGGAAGGUGUUUUAUCUUUUUUAGCAUGUAUGCAUUUCCGUUAGAUAUUUUCUGAUCCUAAUACAUUAAUGUGUGUCUAGAAUUGAUUAAAGCCAACAAGUAUGUACUUGAAUUGAUUUAUGCCAACAAGUAUGUGUUUAAACAAUAGGGUGACUGUCUAUCAAAGGAUCUCUGAAAAGAAAAUUACUGAGGACGCAAAUGGUUAUCUGAACUUGAUCUAUUUAAUUAGGAGAAAACAUGGAAACUUCCGAUACAUUUAUGUCGUCAACUGGUGCAGACAAUACUACCAUGGUUUCAAAUACAACAGAAGGAUCACUUCCAGAAAUAUAUAUUUAUAUGAUCAGUGUAUCAGCUGCUCUGUUGUUGGUUUUGCUAUCAGCAGCUUGUGCAAGUUGUCUACGUAACACUAGAAAACGAUAUGGUCGAGAAUCUCGAAUAUUUAACAGAAAAAGUAACCGAAAAUCGGCCUCUGACAGACCAGUGAGUAACGCUAUGGAACUGAAAAGAGUGUCGUAUAUUUCUUCUUCAAGUGCAAGUAGAAUAUUUCCAAAACGAACACAACAUCAGCCUAUUGAAGUGUAGAGUUAAUGAAACUGGACUCUGUAAAUGGUCAUGACUUUUAUUUUAAGAU
Mytilus californianus (California mussel) is the source of this 638-nucleotide long non-coding RNA. RefSeq lists it as uncharacterized. The transcript is spliced from 3 exons. NCBI's taxonomy places the organism in Eukaryota, Metazoa, Mollusca, Bivalvia, Mytilida, Mytilidae. The record is from RefSeq and is a predicted model, not a curated record.